RNAcentral lists this transfer RNA (65 nucleotides) under Scutogyrus longicornis. RNAcentral's name for it is "tRNA-His". Lineage: Eukaryota; Metazoa; Platyhelminthes; Monogenea; Dactylogyridea; Ancyrocephalidae. The record is from RNAcentral.
UUCGUGGCUAGGUUAAUUUAAACCCCCAAUUUGUGGUAUUGGAAAUAUGUUUACAUGCUUCGAAG